Molecule: long non-coding RNA, 1105 nt
Filed under: Sarcophilus harrisii (Tasmanian devil)
Lineage: Eukaryota; Metazoa; Chordata; Mammalia; Dasyuromorphia; Dasyuridae
Description: lncRNA (ENSSHAG00000026434.1)
Source: RNAcentral
CUCGCCUUUCCCCGCCCGCCCCGAGUGAGGGAAUGCAAUCCCCUCCAAGCGCAGACAGGCAGCGGCGGCGGCGGCUCCUCUGCAGCGGCGGCGGCUCCGGGCACCCAGAGAAAGCUGUCAAAGGCGCCCGUGCCCGGGGCUGGGCGCGCGCCGCCUCGCUCCGAGCCCCCGCCCCCGGCCUCCAGGUACCCCAGAGCGCGAGCGGCCGCGCGGCACGUGCGCCCCGCGCCGCCGCAGCCCCCGGAGCGGAGCCCGAGCCCGAGCCCGAGCCGGAGCCCGAGCCGGGGGCCGGGAGCCGGCGCGGGGCGGGGGCGCACGCGGCGGCCGGCAGCCCCGGACCUCGGCGCUGCCCCGCGCCCCGCGCCCAGGGCGGACUAUGCCAUUGGGAGCCCGCCGGGGCCGAGGCCAACUUGGAGCCGCCGCGGCCGGGGGAGGAGGAGGUGCCCGGGCGGCCCGGAGCAGCUCUCCCCGGGGCCGCGGCCGAGGCGGAGGGGCCCCGGCCGCGCAGCCUUGAGGCGGAGGAGCAGCCAGCCCCCGGCGGGCCGGGGCCGGAGGAAGAGCUCGGGGCCGCGCCAGGCCGGAGGGGAGCGCCCUGCCCUGCCCCGCUCUGCCCCGCGCCGCACGCACGCACGCAGCCCGAGGCCAGCAGAGGAUGUCAGCACAUGUGUGCCAUGGUAUCAUUCACCCUUCACUGCAGCCCGAGGCUUGUCCUCCUCUUCUGCUCAUGAGUGCCGGGGACGACACUGCAGGUGGGCGGUCCAGGUAAGGGCUUGCUGUGGGGGAGGGAAGGGGAAGCUGCUCCCCUGGGGCUGAGAGCCGGCCUGUGCUUCCGAGGUGGGGGAAGGAUCAUUUUGGCUCCCUUCUCUCUCCGUUUGAAGUCUGUCUGGGGCCUGAGACCGUCACGGGGUAGAUGGUAGCUGCUAAAUUAGCUUCUCCCAGAUAUUGACUCCCACUUUCUAAAUAGGUGAGCAUUGGAUUUUUGCCUUUGACUGACAGAUGUGAAGAGACCUUCUCCCCAGCCUUCCCCUUCAGGGUUCCGAAGGGCCUGCUAUUAGUCAUCCUAUUGAUGUGCUGUAGAGUCAGGGGCCCACUGAGAUUGGAAUAU